This 549-nucleotide ribosomal RNA is filed under the name uncultured bacterium. RNAcentral's name for it is "bacterial SSU rRNA". It matches the Rfam family "Bacterial small subunit ribosomal RNA", at positions 355 to 897 of the family's 1533-position model. The record is from RNAcentral.
UGGGGAAUAUUGCGCAAUGGGGGGAACCCUGACGCAGCCAUGCCGCGUGAAUGAAGAAGGCCUUCGGGUUGUAAAGUUCUUUCGGUAUUGAGGAAGGUUGAUGUGUUAAUAGCACAUCAAAUUGACGUUAAAUACAGAAGAAGCACCGGCUAACUCCGUGCCAGCAGCCGCGGUAAUACGGAGGGUGCGAGCGUUAAUCGGAAUAACUGGGCGUAAAGGGCACGCAGGCGGUUAUUUAAGUGAGGUGUGAAAGCCCCGGGCUUAACCUGGGAAUUGCAUUUCAGACUGGGUAACUAGAGUACUUUAGGGAGGGGUAGAAUUCCACGUGUAGCGGUGAAAUGCGUAGAGAUGUGGAGGAAUACCGAAGGCGAAGGCAGCCCCUUGGGAAUGUACUGACGCUCAUGUGCGAAAGCGUGGGGAGCAAACAGGAUUAGAUACCCUGGUAGUCCACGCUGUAAACGCUGUCGAUUUGGGGGUUGGGGUUUAACUCUAGCGCCCGUAGCUAACGUGAUAAAUCGACCGCCUGGGGGAGUACGGCCGCAGGGUUAA